AUUGAACGCUGGCGGCAGGCCUAACACAUGCAAGUCGAGCGGAUGAAGGGAGCUUGCUCCUGGAUUCAGCGGCGGACGGGUGAGUAAUGCCUAGGAAUCUGCCUGGUAGUGGGGGAUAACGUCCGGAAACGGGCGCUAAUACCGCAUACGUCCUGAGGGAGAAAGUGGGGGAUCUUCGGACCUCACGCUAUCAGAUGAGCCUAGGUCGGAUUAGCUAGUUGGUGGGGUAAAGGCCUACCAAGGCGACGAUCCGUAACUGGUCUGAGAGGAUGAUCAGUCACACUGGAACUGAGACACGGUCCAGACUCCUACGGGAGGCAGCAGUGGGGAAUAUUGGCCCAUGGGCGCAAGCCUGAUCCCGCCCUGCCGCGUGUGUGAAGAAGGUCUUCGGAUUGUAAAGCACUUUAAGUUGGGAGGAAGGGCAGUAAGUUAAUACCUUGCUGUUUUGACGUUACCCCCAGAAUAAGCACCGGCUCCCUUCGUG
Molecule: ribosomal RNA, 484 nt
Filed under: uncultured bacterium
Lineage: Bacteria
Description: partial 16S ribosomal RNA
Rfam family: Bacterial small subunit ribosomal RNA
Source: RNAcentral